CCCUUAGAUGUUCUGGGCAGCACGCGCGCUACAAUGGUCUUCGCAAACGGAUGCAUUCUCGAAGGAGAAUGCCAAUCUUGGAAUCUAUGCCUUGGUCGGGACAGUUGCUUGCAAUUUUUCGACUCGAACCAGGAAUUCCAUGUAAUCGUGAUUCAUCACAUCACGAUGAAUACGUCCCUGCCCUUUGUACACACCGCCCGUCGCUCCUACCGAUCGAAGAGUUAGGUGAAUUGUUUUGAUCGAUAAGAUUUGACUAUGGUCAACUCUCGUUGUGAAAUUCUGUGAAUCUGACUGUUUAGAGGAAGGAAAAGUCGUAACA
This 319-nucleotide ribosomal RNA is filed under the name uncultured eukaryote. Its description in RNAcentral is "partial 18S ribosomal RNA". It matches the Rfam family "Eukaryotic small subunit ribosomal RNA", at positions 1470 to 1796 of the family's 1831-position model. The record is from RNAcentral.